UCAGUGGUUUAAUUUAAUAUCAAAGAAUGUAUACAUUGUACAACCUAAAAUUCUUAAUCUUCACAGACAUCCACAAAACAGGAAAAAAAAUCCCCAAAGAAUGAAUGACAAAGAAACGUUAGAACCCCAAAGCCUUCUCUCCCCACCCCCCAUGCGCAAGCAACAGCAAAGCAUCAACCCUCCCCCACUUAUUUCAGCAGGAAGCACCAGCCCACAACACCCACCAUUCAAGCAAUAGCCAAGCUCCCAAAGUGACCAUGAUCUGCAGUCCAACAAAAAUAAAGUGUUCACACCGACAAAUUCGACAUACCAUUGGGACUCUCUCACCCUUUCAACAGCAUGAGGGGAGAUCCACAAAACAGAACAACUUGCUGAUUAUGAUGUUACAGUCUGCCGUGUUGCUUUUAUUCCAAGUUCUUUGACUCGAGAAUUGGCAGCAAAUUUGCCCCCACCGUCGAAAGAAAAAGAGAGGGAGAUUGAGAUCAUUCGCCUGAGUACAGAGGCCUCCAACAGCCGAUCUGCUAUUCACGAUGUUCCGUCUUUCCCGCGAUACCUCAGUCAGUGACACCAACAUGGAAUCAACACAUCCAUGGGGCAGCAAGGCCACUUGUUUUCCAGGCUGCAUCUUGGCAAUACGGAGAAACGACUGGUCAGUGAGCUCCAGGAACAGGAAGCACCACCAUAUAGAACUGUAGUUUGAGUGCAACUGUAGAUCACGGACUCUGACAAAACUCCAUCCACCUUGAAAGGGAAGAAACUAAGCUGUUUCACAGAUGACAUCUGGUGACAUCUUAGCUCUGCUGUCUGUAAAACAGUCAAUUCCCUAGCAGGGGCCUACUGUUCUCAGAAAUCCCCCUCUGUACCCAUGGUGACCACGUGCUCCCUCUCCAAGUUAUGAUAGCUACCAAUGUAUCCCCGGAAGUGGGGUAGACAGCUGGUUCGGGCUGAGCACUGACUCCUUAUUUUGAGAGUGUACAGCAAUUCCACACCCCCAACAGUGGAAAAGACACAUCAAGUCUCUCUUGACCCUCAGUUAAUGAUCAUGCACUCUUCCAAUUCUACUACCCACCAGGGAGAACUUACAGGAGCCUACUAACCUACAAACCAACAUGUCUUUGAUAAGUGGAAGGAAACCGGAGCACCAAUGGGAAACACACGUGAUCACAGGGAGAAUGUGCAAGCUCACACAGAGAACACUGGAUGUUAGGACUGAAUGUGAAUCUCUGGACCUGUGAGGCAGCCAUUAUCCACUCUGUGUCUAUCCUGACAGUCCAUGGGCUCCUCUUGUGCCAAGCUGAGGCCACCCUCAGACUGAAGGAGCAGCACCUUAUAUUCCAUCUAGGUAGCCUCCAACCUGAUUUCUCCUUCCUGUAACCAAAUUAUACACAUCCCUUCCACUAUUCCCCACUCUAACCUUUUACUUCUCACCUGCCUCUUAUUCCACCUCGGUCCUCCUCCUUCCAUUUCUCCUAUGGCCCACUCUCCUCUCCUAUCAGAUUCCUUCCUCUCCAGCCCUUGACCAUUCUCACCCACCUGGCUUCACCUAUCACCUUCCAGAUUUCCUCCUUCCCCACCCCCAUGUUUUAAUUCUGGUGUUUUCCCCCCUUCCUUCCCAGUCCUGAAGCCCCUGGGUUUCUGUGUCUGGACAUCGGAGGUCGAUGGUGAAAGCCCCUGGGUUUCCGUGUCUGGAUGUCGGAGGCCUAAUAUUUCUGAUUCUGGACAAGGGACUGGAGGUUGGUGGCCCAGAAAUCUAUCUGUGUGUGUCAGUAGGUGUGAGGAAGGGGAGGAAAAGGGCUUGCUUUGCUGUUGAUAUUUUGUUGGUGGUGUUGUAGUUGUUCCCCCAGGUUCCCUACUCAUUCCCUUUCUCCUAAGGUCCACUCUCCUCUCCUAGCGGAUUACUUUCACUCCAGCCCUUUACUCUUCCCACCCACCUGCCUUCACCUAUCACCUUCCAGCUAUCCUCUUUCCCCAGUCCAUUACCUUUUCAUUCAGACAUCUUUCCCCAGCCUCCUCAGUCCUGAAGAAGGGUCUCGGCCUGAAACAUCGACUGUUUGUUCAUUCCCAUAGAUGCUGCCUGACCUGCUGAGUUCCUCCAGCAUUUUGUGUGUGUUGCUCAACCCUGUCAAUCCCAGUGAGAAUUCUCUGCGGUUAUCCGGUCAAUCCAGGCAUCAGUCAAAUGCUCCUUGGCAGUACUUCCUCUAUCUGAUGUAUAAUCUAUCCUUCCUUCAGUCAGGGAAACAGACCACAGAGGUGAUGGCAUCCAAACCCUGCCACAGCUGUCGAGCACCUUCUGUCAUUCAAGUUUGGUUCAGAAUUGCCUCUUUGCACACAACGUGGCUCUCUGGAGGUCAUAUCUGGACCUCGUGUAUCUUCCCUGGUCACCAGAUCUGAAUGUUACUGAUGUGGCCCUCAGCAGAUUGCAGAUCUCGUGGUUCAUCCUGGGAUUCCGGUUGGGGAAGACCCUGAAUGAUUUUGUGGGGAUACACUCAUCUACAACUGUUUUUAUGAAGUCCAUGACAACCAUGUUGUAUUCAUUCGGAUCCUCUGAUGAGUCCUGAAACAUAGCCCAGUCCACCAACUCAAGGCAAACCUGUAGCUGUUUCUCUGCCUCCUGAGACCACCUCUUUGUUGUCCUUAUCUCUGAAGCCUUGUUCUUUAGCUUCUGUCUGUAUGCAGGUAGGAGGAGGACAGCCAAGGGAUCAGAGUUCCCGAAAUGCAGUCUAGGCAUUCCUAAUAGUAAUAUAGCAGUGGUCGAGUGUUGGGACCCCUGGUGCUGCAAGUGAUACGUUGAUAAUUGGCUAGUGAGGCUGAUCGACACCACCCCUACCACUAAUUUAUCAGAGUCACUUUACAUGCAGACACUUCAGAGUCGAGCAUCUUUUAAUGGACAUAAAAUCCAUGUGUAUAAACUUACUUAUUUAUGUUUAGAGUAAUUUUCAUUAUUGUAUUAUGUUAUUGUGUUUUUUUGUGCUGCAUCAGAUCAGGAGUAUUAAUUAUUUUGUUCACCUUUACACUAGUGUACAGGAAACAACAUUAAACCAUCUUGAAUCUUCAGUAGUCCCAGCCCACUCUCUCAAAGACUGGCCUGCCACUUCAAAUCUAAGCCAUAAACUUUGUAGACUGUUUCCUUUCAGGGAGCUCGCCAACCAGUUGGAAUAUUAACAAAUCCCAUGGCUGCUUUUCCUGAUGCUAGUUUAUUCAGCUUGUCACAGUGGAACUGGAUUUCACAGUUUCUUGUAUCAGUUCAGUGGGGUUUGGCUGCAGUCAGGGGGAACUGUGAGGGGACUACACAGGACACGAAGAACUGAGGCAGCCAUUUGGCUGAAGCAACAUUUAUAACCGGAGUUUAAGGACUUUUUGAGAGCAAGUUAGUUAAAGUUGCACCAAGUGCAUUAAGUGAUAACAGAUCUUGUUCAUUCAGAAUUGCCACAUUGAUAAGUUUGACUCCACACAUCCACUGAACGGUCACAUCACCUAUGUCCCUUCUGAAGCCUGCCUGGAACCAUUGGAACAUAUGAGACAUAUAGUGUGUCAGGGGUGAAUGAAUUCCUUGAUCCAGAUUCCAGCAUCCCAAAGUCACAUAUAGUGACAUAUUCAGUACUGCACUGAAGUCUUAGGGCACCCUAGAUUUUUAAAUGGUUUCAGAUGGUAUGACUUCACAGAGCCCUGAUCGCAACAUCAUUGAGGCUGUCUGGGAUUACCUGGAAAGAUAAGCAAGCGAGACAGCCAAAGUCUGCAGAAGAACUGUGGUGAGUUCUCCAAGAUGUUUGGAACAAACUACCAGCCGAUUUUCUCAUAAAACUGCACACCUCAGAAACUGAUUGGAAAGCUGAGCCUACUGGGCCUGAACACCCCCCUCUGCAACUGGAUCCUAGACUUCCUGACUGGGAGAUCUCAGUCAGUCCGGAUCGGGAGCAGCAUCUCACUGAGCACGGGGGCUCCCCAGGGUUGCGUGCUCAGUCCACUGCUGUUCACUCUGCUGACCCACGACUGUGCUGCAACACACAGCUCGAACCAUACCAUCAAAUUCGCCGAUGACACCACUGUGGUGGGUCUCAUCAGCAAGAAUGACGAGUCAGCUUACAGAGAAGAGGUGCAGCUACUAACGGACUGGUGCAGAGCCAACAACCUGUCUCUGAAUGUGAACAAAACAAAAGAGAUGGUUGUUGACUUCAGGAGGGCAGAGCGACCACUCCCCACUGAACAUCGACAGCUCCUCAGUAGAGAUUGUAAAGAGCACCAAAUUUCUUGGUGUUCACCUGACGGAGAAUCUCACCUGGUCCCUCAACACCAGCUCCAUAACGAAGAAAGCCCAGCAGCAUCUCUACUUUCUGUGAAGGUUGAGGAAAGUCCAUCUCCCACCCCCCAUCUUCAUCACAUUCUACAGGGGUUGUAUUGAGAGCAUCCUGAGCAGCUGCAUCACUGCCUGGUUUGGAAAUUGCACCAUUUCAGAUUGCAAGACCCUGCAGCGGAUAGUGAGGUCAGCUGAGAUCAUUGGGGUCUCUCUUCCCGCCAUCACAGACAUUUACACUACACACUGCAUCCGCAAAGGAAACAGCGUUAUGAAGGACCCCAUGCACCCCUCAUACAAUCUCUUCUCCCUCCUGCCGUCUGGGAAAAGGCCGAAGUAUUCGGGCUCUCACGGCCAGACUAUGUAACAGUUUCUUCCCCCAAGCUAUCAGACUCCUCAAUACCCGAAGCCUGGACUGACACCUUGCCCUACUGUCCUGUUUAUUAUUUAUUGUAAUGCCUGCACUGUUUUUGUGCACUUUAUGUAGUCCAGUGUAGGUCUGUAGUCUAGUGUAGCUUUCUCUGUGUUGUUUUUUACAUAGUUCAGUCUAGUUUUUGUACUGUGUCAUGUAACACCAUGGUCCUGAAAAACGUCGUCUUAUUUUUACUAUGUAUUGUACCAGCAGUUAUGGUCGAAAUGACAAUAAAAGUGACUUGACUUGACAACAGUGUACCUAAGAGAAUUGAUGCUGUCUUAAAGGCAAAGGGUGGUCACACCAAAUAUUGGUUUGAGUUAGUUUUCUUUUGCUGUUUACUGCUCUUUAUAGCAAUUUUUUGAUAUUUAGAAUGCUGUCAUUAUUUUUGAAAGCAUCUUUGCUUUACAGGAUUUUGUUUUACAUAUGCACAGUACUCUAUCAGUCUUAAUAAUAAAUGUACUUUGAACUUUGAUGCAACCUCCUCAAGCCUCUGGGAUAGGUGAAGAAACCCCUUAUCCUGGUCUUCAUGACUCAGUUGUUAUUUUGUUACCAUGGCCUAGUUCCAAGACUGCUCAGUCAGAAGAAACAUUCUCAGUGCAUCUAUCUGGCAGAAUCUUUAAACUGUAUAUUGUGCCUCACUGAGGUCAGACAGCUCUUGUCAGAACUCUCGUGACUGACAAAGAUUGUCAUAAUCAACUCCCUAGCCCAGGAGUCCAGAUAUUAACUCUGGAAUAAUUUCUUGACGCAACUCCCUGCUCCCUAUCUCAAUGGAGGUCCAAAGGUUGCAUGCAGAGUUGACCCAAUGUCUCAAUAAGUUUUUAGCAACUUUCGAUUUAAUAAUUUUUAAUUGGGAUGUUAUACUGAAGUUGUGUAAGACAUUGGUGAGACUUAAUUUGGAGUAUUGUGUACAGUUUUGGUCAUCUAUCUAUAGGAAGAUAUAAAUAAGGUUGAAAGGGUAGAGAGAAAACUUAGAUGUAUGUUGCUGGGUCUGGAGGACUCGAGUUACAUGGGAAGAUUGAAUUUAGUAAGUUAUUCCUUGGAACAUAGAAGAUUGAGGGGAGUUUAUUUGAUAGUGGUAUACAAAUCAGGGGAUAGGGUAAAUGCAAACAGGCUUAUUACACUGAGGUUGCAUGGGUCAUGGGUUAAGUGUGAAAGGUGAAAAGUUUAAAGGGAACAUAAAGGGGAAUUUCUUCACUCAGAGGGUGGUGAGAGUGUGGGAUGAGCUGUCAGCACAAGCAGUGCAUGUGACCUCAAUUUCAAUAUCUAAGAAAAAUUUGGAUAGGUACAUGGAUGUUAGGGUACAGAGAGCCAUGGUCCCAGUGCAGAUCAAAGGGAGUAGGCAGUUUAAAUGUUCAGCAUGGGCCAAAGAGCCUGUUUCUGUUCUGUACUUUUCUAUGACUCUGACUCAACUUGCAAUGUCAUUGGCACAGUUUAUGUUGAGUCAUUUUAUUCUUCCAGAACUUAGGAUUUUAACGCAAUCUGUAAACAAGAUACACCCAUCAUCACAAAUAUUUCAUCAACAAAUUGAUCAACAUCCCAGGUGAGCUCACCUGACAUUAAAUGCCAAUGAAGAAAUGUCUCCACACUCCACCUAGGCUCUGAAAGUAGGAUGGAGUUGAGGAGAUAUGAGAGAGAAUGAGUCAGCUUACAGGCAGGACACAGGAGUGACUGCGGAUACAGGUCAGGCAACAUCUACGGAGGGAAGGAUUUCCCCUAGCCCAGUGUAGUCAAUUCUCUUACUGGCAGUAAAAAGUGUGAUUACUGCAAUCAAUAGCUUGUACCUUCCCUUUUGAGCUGAGCUUUUGAACCGUCCGUACAACCUGGCAUUUUUGUAGUGUGAACUGAAGUCUGGAAAGUGCAGGAUGGUCGUAGCAUGAUGUGUACCGGCCCAAUUGAGGCAGUGGGACCAGGCCUGAGAGCGGGGAAUGAGGCCAUUGUUGGAAUGGACUUGCAGGUGAUUCAAUGCGGCAGGCCCAGUCCUGAGAGCAUAUCGAAGCCGCAGGGCCCGGGUCCAAGAGCAAGGAAGUAACCUGAGGUUUGAUCAAUUUAAGUACCAGGCUGAGUUGGAAAGGUGAGUACAGGCUGAGUUGAGUUGGCAGGAUCCCGGCCCAAGAGUGACAAACGACUUGAGGUUUGUCUUGAGGACAAUUUAAGCACAGGGACAGAUUGAAAAGUAGGUGAGGGAUGGGCCGUGAGAUUUACUUGUCUCUGUGCUGAGCUGAGGCAACUAAUAGGCUCCUAGAUCAGCUGCAGUGAUGACUAGUUUUGCCGCUGCAAACUCACUUUCGUGAACUUCAGUUGUUUGCAUGAUUCGUUCCUUUAUCUGCAUAUUGGGUGUUGGACGAUCUUCUUUUAAAAUGAGUUCCACUGGGUUCUUUUGUUCAGUGGCUGCCUGUAAGGAGACGAAUCCCAAGGUUGAUCCUUAACCCAGCACAGAUGGAAAAUGUGCAAAGAGCCAGUGGGAUUCGAACCCGGAACCACUCGCAUCAAAGUCUGGCGCAGGCACCACUACACUGCCAGUUGGCACAUAUAUACUUCGAUAAUAAAUGCAUUUUGACUUUGAAAUGUCAUAUCCUAUUAAAAUACCACACUCCACACCAGCUCCUUGCAUUGUGCUUUUUUUCCCGUUUUAAUUACAAGUUUUGUUUUUUGUUGAAGUAGUAAUAAAAAAAUUACAAGUAUGUCGAGCAAAUAAAAUGGUUUAGACAGAACAAUCAUCGUUUGGCUAGAUUAAACCCAGAAAUCACAGAGUAGCGAGGUAGCAGUCUCUUCACCCUCCACCACAACACCCCUCCCCUCGCAUGGGGGAAGAGGGGAGUGAGGGAGGGUACUUUAACAAAGGCUCCUGCAGCUUGCGACCCCGGCUCUGUAUAAAUUAUACGUAUAAUGCGGGGUAAGGCAAGCAAUUAUUGCUCUGGUAAAAAACACAGCUCCCUGAAUGGCGUAUUGAGAGAGGAAGCACAGACAUCUGCUCAGGUUGCAGAUUGCCAGGCCCACACCACCCAACCUCUCCCCCUCCAACCGGACCUAUUACUCUGGCACCACAACCAAAACGUCACAGGCCACAGAAGCACAGGGAGUCUGAGGGCCAUCCAGUUGAUUAAUACUGUAACUUAUUCUUCACUUUUGUGAGGAGCCAAGGACUAUUUGAGAUACUACGCUGACAAAAGUUCCCAAACCUUUUCCCAAGCAGCUGGGACAUCUGAGGUGUUUUAUUUACACCCACCAGCUUGGGGGUGAUAUAUUUUAGUUCUAUUGAGAUAAGGCGUGGAAUAGGCCCUUCCACCUUGGCCACGCUGCCCAGCAACCACCAAUUUAAUCCUAGCCUUAUCACAGGGCAAUUUAUAAUGGCCUAUUAACCUACCAACCAGUACGACUGUGGGAGGAAACCCACACAGUCACGGCAAGAACGUACAAACUCCUUGCAGGCAGCUGCGGGAAUUGAACCUGGGUCAGCUGUACUAAAAAGCAUUGUGCUAACCACUAUGCUACCAUGCCGCCCAUUAGCAUCUUGCUAUCUACCUUCUACGUACCUGGCUCUCCCAGGCUAAUUCGUGGCUCCCACCUGCCCACUGUUCCCACAAUGGAAAUUGCACCCAAUUGAUAGUUUGUUUUUUUGUCUACACAGUGUUGCGAGUCUGGAAAGGACUUGCAACCAUUGAGCACAUCUACAUGAAAUGCUGUCGCAGGAAAACAGCAUCCAUAAUCGGAGAACCAAGUUACCCAGGCCGCUGCCAUCAGGUAGAAGGUACAAGAGCCUCAGGAUUCACACUACCAGGUUCAAGAACAGCUAAUACCCCUCAUCCAUCAGGCUCUUCAACAAUAGGGGAUAACUACACUCACUUGCCCAUCCACUGAGAUGUUCCCACAAUCAAUGAUCUCACUUUAAGGACUCUUUAUCUCAUGUUCUCACUAUUUAUUGCUAUUUAUUUAUAUUUGCAUUUGCACAGUUUCUUGUAUUCUGCACUCUGGCUGAUCUUUCAUUGAUUGUGUGAUAGUUACUAUUCUAUAGAUCUGCUGACUAUACCCACAGGAAAGUGAAUCUUAGGGUUGUAUAUGGUGACAUAUUUAUACUGUGAUAAAAAAAAUUACUUUGAACUUUGAGAGCAAGAAAUGUUCCCUGCUCUCUCUAGGCCAGGAACAAUCACAGCUUCUAGUCCAUCUCCCCUCUCCCCCACCAUCCUUCCCAGUUACCAAGGCAGCAAACAGGUUAACUAAUGCAUGGCAGGAUAUGGCAUGUGACUGCCAGGAGAGCACAAUGAUCUAAGAGAGAGGUUUAUGUGAAGAAUGACAAGACUGUCAAACCCUGUGCAAGAACAAAAGGAAGUGACUACUCAUCCUCCGCUGAUUCUUGCAAUCUAUGUAAAAACCUUUUACUGAGCUUUGAGAUGGGGCCUCAGGGCUGGACAGAUCUGUGUGAAGUAGGAACAUGUUCCUGACUGACUGACCACAGCGUGGACCCAACCAACUACCCAGACUGGACUAUAUUUUCCUACCUGGUUCUAGCUCAACAACCACUGACUAGAACAGGCAAACUUAAAAUGAGAGAGGGUUUGAACUUUUAAUCCUGGAGUAGAAAUAAAGCAGCUUUCAUACUCUCUAAAUCAUUAUUGCACCAUUUGAAAACAUUACAAAUUCCUGCAAGCUUCACUUGUGCUAAAUCAAACCAGUGAUACUCACCAAGUAGACAAUCAAAAGAAAAUCAAACAAUUUCAAGAAAGGUGUGACAACAGAAUAGAUCUGAUAGCCUGAUGUACUGUGGCUCUGUGUAUUGGAUUGGACAGCUUACAGAACCAAACUAUAUAAAACUGGGCUAUGGAAGAUGCUUAAGCCCUCUCACAUCUAGGCUGCAUGCCCGUGAACCCUUUUAAACUUGCUGUCCACUUAGUCCUCCAAGAGGACCAAAGCCUUAUCGUAGGGUUUGGAGGCUUGCGUGCCUCAAUGACCCAGAGAGCCAUGUUGGCUGGAGUCAGGGCUUUAUGCUUUGGCUCUUAGUAGGGACACCCAUGCCAAACAGGUCAAAGGGUAGAGGUCAAACUAAUAGUGGUCCACCAGUCCUCCAGGUUCAGGGGUUCCGUUCAGGGCAAACGACCCAACUGGUCAAACAAAAUUGUUAAGGAAACAGCAGUGAAGAAUCCUUUUACAUCUGAGUGCGAUGGUAUUCCCAAGUCUCCUCCCGGGACUUGCAUGACUGACAGUAGUGACAUGAUGAAGAAAGUCCUGAACACUGCCAGAGAUGGAAGACCAUCACUGCUGCUCAAAACGUAAGUGGCACAACAUGCAGUAAGUAGGUCCACUUAGUGCCCACUACUACAGACCCUCAAUGCUCUGUCCUUUUCGUCCUCCCACUUUUGAAACCCCUCCGAGUUUCUCUUCUGUUGCCUGUCCAGCUGAAGGCAAGUCAGAAUUUGACUGAUAGACCUUCCUCCUCUGAUCACCAUCCACUCACAUCACUACCCUCCAAGAGGCAUAUUGUUCAGGCCAAAAUAUUCUUCACUCAUUUCAAAUGGAUGAUGUAUUCCAACUGUUUCAACACUUGCACAGGGAGACUGACUGGAUGGGAAUUUAAAUACAUUAUUAGCAAGUGUGUAAGGUGACACUUUUCUAGUGUACCCUGGAGGGCAAGUGGGGAGCCCAUCGAUAUCAAGCUCUUAGUGAUGGGGAGAGAAAUGCCUCCCACUGAGACCUGGAGAACCAAAUUGGGGCAGCAUUCCCCAAUGCAACCUAGUGUGGGUCAUAUCUCAGUCACCCUCGUGUGUGUGCACUGCUGUGGCAGGCUUAACACCUCCAGGCAGCAAUCGCCAUUCCUCAGUUUCCAACUUAAACCCAUGCCUCUCCAAUGGGGCGCAGGGCACUGAGGAAAGGCACAAGAGCUGUCCGGAGGCAAAAGCAUCUUUCCACUUACUCCGAUCACAAUAACAUAUAAACAAAACUGAGCUGUAUUUAGUUACGGUGAUAAUAAAGAGAUAAUCAGUUGGUGCUGGCUUGCGAGGUAAAGUAAGGUACUAUAUACCAACUUUUGUUUUGAAAAUAAGCUUGCUGCGGAGAAGCUGCACCUUUGCCCGCCCACCCAAACCCA
This is a long non-coding RNA of Hypanus sabinus (Atlantic stingray), 10785 nucleotides long. RefSeq lists it as uncharacterized. The transcript has 3 exons. The record is from RefSeq and is a predicted model, not a curated record. Lineage: Eukaryota; Metazoa; Chordata; Chondrichthyes; Myliobatiformes; Dasyatidae.